Non-coding RNA from Danio rerio (zebrafish), 525 nucleotides. Lineage: Eukaryota; Metazoa; Chordata; Actinopteri; Cypriniformes; Danionidae. The record is from Ensembl.
UUAUACCCUUUCAGGCUGAAAUUAAUUUUUAGAAACAGGAAAAAUCUGAUAUUUGGGGAAAAUUAUCAUAUGGCGUAAUCCUGACUUUUUUUUAGAGAGACCUUCACAUGCAAGGCAUUCUGGGAUGUUGCAGAUUUGCAACAUUGGCUCAGUGUGGUAAUUAGACACUGACGACUGAAUAUGAUAUGAAAAAUAAUUUUUUAUGUACAACUUUUCAAACAAUGUAACAAAUUGCUUUUCAGUGGCAGAACAACAACAAAAACAAUAUGGGAUCCAAAUCCAAUAUCUCAAAUCCUCAUUGAGUUGGUCAUGUUUCCAAGUCACUUUGUCAUGUGGUACUCCAAGAAACUUUUUUUGUGUGUGUGUCAUCUGGUGAGCAAGUGGGGAAACUGUUCGUUGCAAAUGGACAACCAAGUCCUGCAGUGGUACUUCUGAGUAAAAAAACUCAUAAAAUAUGCACCUAGAGUAAUAAGGUAGUUAAAUUUAACUGUUGCAAAUCUGCAACUCCUGCCUUGAAAGGGUUAA